CAGUCGCCGCGGGAAAACGUAGGUGGCAAGCGUUGUCCGGAAUUAUUGGGCGUAAAGGGCUCGCAGGCGGUUUCUUAAGUCUGAUGUGAAAGCCCCCGGCUCAACCGGGGAGGGUCAUUGGAAACUGGGAAACUUGAGUGCAGAAGAGGAGAGUGGAAUUCCACGUGUAGCGGUGAAAUGCGUGGAGAUGUGGAGGAACACCAGUGGCGAAGGCGACUCUCUGGUCUGUAACUGACGCUGAGGAGCGAAAGCGUGGGGAGCGAACAGGAUUAGAUACCCCCGUAGUCCCUGUCUCUUAUAC
Molecule: ribosomal RNA, 301 nt
Filed under: uncultured bacterium
Lineage: Bacteria
Description: partial 16S ribosomal RNA
Rfam family: Bacterial small subunit ribosomal RNA
Source: RNAcentral